RNAcentral lists this ribosomal RNA (536 nucleotides) under Ptilosphen sp. n. 1 GBF-2021a. RNAcentral describes it as "partial 16S ribosomal RNA". The stretch from base 92 to 452 matches the Rfam family "Bacterial large subunit ribosomal RNA", at positions 2075 to 2645 of the family's 2925-position model. Lineage: Eukaryota; Metazoa; Arthropoda; Insecta; Diptera; Micropezidae. The record is from RNAcentral.
UGCUGGAAUGAAUGGUUGGACGAGAUAUAAACUGUUUCAAUUUUAUUUAUAAUAGAAUUUUAUUUUUUAGUUAAAAAGCUAAAAUUUUUUUAAAAGACGAGAAGACCCUAUAAAUCUUUAUAAUUUGUUUAUUUUUAUUUUUAGGAUGUGUUUUGUAUUAAUGAAUUAAUUUAUUUUAUUGGGGUGAUAUUAAAAUUUAUAAAACUUUUAAUUAUUUUGAUCAUAAAUUAAUGAUUUAUUGAUCCGUUAUUUACGAUUAUAAGAUUAAGUUACUUUAGGGAUAACAGCGUAAUUUUUUUGGAGAGUUCAUAUCGAUAAAAAAGAUUGCGACCUCGAUGUUGGAUUAAGAUAUAAUUUUGGGUGCAGCUAUUCAAAUUUUAAGUCUGUUCGACUUUUAAAUUCUUACAUGAUCUGAGUUCAAACCGGCGUGAGCCAGGUUGGUUUCUAUCUUUAAAAUAUUAGAAUAUUUUAGUACGAAAGGAUUGAAUAUUUGAAUAAAUUUAUUUUAUAAUGAGAAUAUUAUUAAUUACUGUCUU